UCAAGCGACUAAGCGUACACGGUGGAUGCCUUGGCAACUAGAGGCGAUGAAAGACGUUGUAGCCUGCGAUAAGCUACGGUGAGGUGGCAAACAACCUUUGACCCGUAGAUCUCUGAAUGGGGAAACCCACGACUUCGGUCGUAUCUUGCACUGAAUACAUAGGUGACAAGAGGCAAACGUAGGGAACUGAAACAUCUAAGUACCUAUAGGAAAAGAAAUCAAAUGAGAUUCCCUUAGUAGCGGCGAGCGAACGGGGAGCAGCCCUUAAGCUGUAAUGUAGUUAGGAGAAGGCUCUGGAAAGUGCCGCCAUAGUGGGUGAUAGCCCCGUAUCUAAAAACUUAUUUACAGUGAAAUCGAGUAGGUCGGGACACGUGAUAUCUUGACUGAAUAUGGGGGGACCAUCCUCCAAGGCUAAAUACUCCUAGUUGACCGAUAGUGAACCAGUACCGUGAGGGAAAGGCGAAAAGAACCCCGGAGAGGGGAGUGAAAUAGAUCCUGAAACCGUAUGCAUACAAACAGUGGGAGCGGACUUGUUCUGUGACUGCGUACCUUUUGUAUAAUGGGUCAGCGACUUAAUUUAUGUAGCGAGCUUAACCGAAUAGGGGAGGCGAAGGGAAACCGAGUCUUAAUAGGGCGUUUAGUUGCUGGCAAUAGACCCGAAACCCGGCGAUCUAUCCAUGAGCAGGUUGAAGGUUGAGUAACAUCAACUGGAGGACCGAACCCACUGUCGUUGAAAAGCCAGGGGAUGACUUGUGGAUCGGAGUGAAAGGCUAAUCAAGCCGGGAGAUAGCUGGUUCUCCUCGAAAUCUAUUUAGGUAGAGCGUCGUGUCUUACCCUGGGGGGUAGAGCACUGUUUGGGCUAGGGGGUCAUCCCGACUUACCAAC
This 885-nucleotide ribosomal RNA is filed under the name Thalassiosira antarctica. RNAcentral's name for it is "partial Bacterial large subunit ribosomal RNA". It matches the Rfam family "Bacterial large subunit ribosomal RNA", at positions 3 to 943 of the family's 2925-position model. The record is from RNAcentral. Lineage: Eukaryota; Bacillariophyta; Thalassiosirophyceae; Thalassiosirales; Thalassiosiraceae.